RNAcentral lists this ribosomal RNA (253 nucleotides) under uncultured bacterium. Its description in RNAcentral is "partial 16S ribosomal RNA". It matches the Rfam family "Bacterial small subunit ribosomal RNA", at positions 524 to 776 of the family's 1533-position model. The record is from RNAcentral.
UACGUAGGGACCAAGCGUUGUCCGGAAUCAUUGGGCGUAAAGAGCGUGUAGGCGGCUUGUUAAGUCUUGUGUGAAAUCUCGGGGCUCAACCCCGGGCGGUCAUGAGAAACUGGCAGGCUAGAGUGCGGGAGAGGGAUGCAGAAUUCCAGGUGUAGCGGUGAAAUGCGUAGAUAUCUGGAGGAAUACCGGUGGCGAAGGCGGCAUCCUGGACCGGCAUUGACGCUGAGGAGCGAAAGCUAGGGGAGCAAACGGG